CCAGAGUUGCAAUUUUGAAAUCCUAGCUGACUUAGAGAAUUUUUCCAGUUUGGCUUUUCUGAACUUCUCAAUAUAGCAGCUUCCUCUUGUUGUGAGAUGGUCGUUUUCACUUAUCUCAAGUGACUCCCAGACAUCCUCUGGAUGAGAUUCUUUUCAACUCCAAGUUGAAGUUCAAUAGCCUUAACGUUUUGACUGUGGAGGUGGG
This is a non-coding RNA of Pelobates cultripes (western spadefoot toad), 205 nucleotides long. The record is from the annotation of a GenBank genome assembly. NCBI's taxonomy places the organism in Eukaryota, Metazoa, Chordata, Amphibia, Anura, Pelobatidae.